This 520-nucleotide ribosomal RNA is filed under the name uncultured Glomus. RNAcentral's name for it is "SSU rRNA". It matches the Rfam family "Eukaryotic small subunit ribosomal RNA", at positions 569 to 1086 of the family's 1831-position model. Lineage: Eukaryota; Fungi; Glomeromycota; Glomeromycetes; Glomerales; Glomeraceae. The record is from RNAcentral.
AGCAGCCGCGGUAAUUCCAGCUCCAAUAGCGUAUAUUAAAGUUGUUGCAGUUAAAAAGCUCGUAGUUGAAUUUCGGGGUUAGUAGGUUGGUCAUGCCUCUGGUAUGUACUGGUCUCACUGAUUCCUCCUUCCUGAUGAACCGUAAUGCCAUUAAUUUGGUGUUGCAGGGAAACUGGACUGUUACUUUGAAAAAAUUAGAGUGUUUAAAGCAAGCUAACGCUUGAAUACAUUAGCAUGGAAUAAUGAAAUAGGACGUUCGAUCCUAUUUUGUUGGUUUCUAGGAUUGACGUAAUGAUUAAUAGGGAUAGUUGGGGGGCAUUAGUAUUCAAUUGUCAGAGGUGAAAUUCUUGGAUUUAUUGAAGACUAACUACUGCGAAAGCAUUUUGCCAAGGAUGUUUUCAUUAGUCAAGAACGAAAGUUAGAGGAUCGAAGACGAUCAGAUACCGUCGUAGUCUUAACCAUAAACUAUGCCGACUAGGGAUCGGAUGAUGUUAAUUUUUUUCAAUGACUCAUUCGGCGC